UUAAGUUAUUAAGGGCGCACGGUGGAUGCCUUGGCACUAGAAGCCGAUGAAGGACGUUACUAACGACGAUAUGCUUUGGGGAGCUGUAAGUAAGCUUUGAUCCAGAGAUUUCCGAAUGGGGAAACCCAGCAUGAGUUAUGUCAUGUUAUCGAUAUGUGAAUACAUAGCAUAUCAGAAGGCACACCCGGAGAACUGAAACAUCUUAGUACCCGGAGGAAGAGAAAGAAAAUUCGAUUCCCUUAGUAGCGGCGAGCGAAACGGGAAGAGCCCAAACCAACAAGCUUGCUUGUUGGGGUUGUAGGACACUCUAUACGGAGUUACAAAGGACGACAUUAGACGAAUCAUCUGGAAAGAUGAAUCAAAGAAGGUAAUAAUCCUGUAGUCGAAAAUGUUGUCUCUCUUGAGUGGAUCCUGAGUACGACGGAGCACGUGAAAUUCCGUCGGAAUCUGGGAGGACCAUCUCCUAAGGCUAAAUACUCUCUAGUGACCGAUAGUGAACCAGUACCGUGAGGGAAAGGUGAAAAGCACCCCGGAAGGGGAGUGAAAUAGAACCUGAAACCGUGUGCUUACAAGUAGUCAGAGCCCGUUAAUGGGUGAUGGCGUGCCUUUUGUAGAAUGAACCGGCGAGUUACGAUUUGAUGCAAGGUUAAGCAGUAAAUGUGGAGCCGUAGCGAAAGCGAGUCUGAAUAGGGCGUUUAGUAUUUGGUCGUAGACCCGAAACCAGGUGAUCUACCCUUGGUCAGGUUGAAGUUCAGGUAACACUGAAUGGAGGACCGAACCGACUUACGUUGAAAAGUGAGCGGAUGAACUGAGGGUAGCGGAGAAAUUCCAAUCGAACCUGGAGAUAGCUGGUUCUCUCCGAAAUAGCUUUAGGGCUAGCCUCAAGUGAUGAUUAUUGGAGGUAGAGCACUGUUUGGACGAGGGGCCCCUCUCGGGUUACCGAAUUCAGACAAACUCCGAAUGCCAAUUAAUUUAACUUGGGAGUCAGAACAUGGGUGAUAAGGUCCGUGUUCGAAAGGGAAACAGCCCAGACCACCAGCUAAGGUCCCAAAAUAUAUGUUAAGUGGAAAAGGAUGUGGCGUUGCCCAGACAACUAGGAUGUUGGCUUAGAAGCAGCCAUCAUUUAAAGAGUGCGUAAUAGCUCACUAGUCGAGUGACACUGCGCCGAAAAUGUACCGGGGCUAAACAUAUUACCGAAGCUGUGGAUUGUCCUUUGGACAAUGGUAGGAGAGCGUUCUAAGGGCGUUGAAGCAUGAUCGUAAGGACAUGUGGAGCGCUUAGAAGUGAGAAUGCCGGUGUGAGUAGCGAAAGACGGGUGAGAAUCCCGUCCACCGAUUGACUAAGGUUUCCAGAGGAAGGCUCGUCCGCUCUGGGUUAGUCGGGUCCUAAGCUGAGGCCGACAGGCGUAGGCGAUGGAUAACAGGUUGAUAUUCCUGUACCACCUAUAAUCGUUUUAAUCGAUGGGGGGACGCAGUAGGAUAGGCGAAGCGUGCGAUUGGAUUGCACGUCUAAGCAGUAAGGCUGAGUAUUAGGCAAAUCCGGUACUCGUUAAGGCUGAGCUGUGAUGGGAGAAGACAUUGUGUCUUCGAGUCGUUGAUUUCACACUGCCGAGAAAAGCCUCUAGAUAGAAAAUAGGUGCCCGUACCGCAAACCGACACAGGUAGUCAAGAUGAGAAUUCUAAGGUGAGCGAGCGAACUCUCGUUAAGGAACUCGGCAAAAUGACCCCGUAACUUCGGGAGAAGGGGUGCUCUUUAGGGUUAACGCCCAGAAGAGCCGCAGUGAAUAGGCCCAAGCGACUGUUUAUCAAAAACACAGGUCUCUGCUAAACCGUAAGGUGAUGUAUAGGGGCUGACGCCUGCCCGGUGCUGGAAGGUUAAGAGGAGUGGUUAGCUUCUGCGAAGCUACGAAUCGAAGCCCCAGUAAACGGCGGCCGUAACUAUAACGGUCCUAAGGUAGCGAAAUUCCUUGUCGGGUAAGUUCCGACCCGCACGAAAGGCGUAACGAUUUGGGCACUGUCUCAACGAGAGACUCGGUGAAAUCAUAGUACCUGUGAAGAUGCAGGUUACCCGCGACAGGACGGAAAGACCCCGUGGAGCUUUACUGUAGCCUGAUAUUGAAAUUCGGCACAGCUUGUACAGGAUAGGUAGGAGCCUUUGAAACGUGAGCGCUAGCUUACGUGGAGGCGCUGGUGGGAUACUACCCUAGCUGUGUUGGCUUUCUAACCCGCACCACUUAUCGUGGUGGGAGACAGUGUCAGGCGGGCAGUUUGACUGGGGCGGUCGCCUCCUAAAAGGUAACGGAGGCGCUCAAAGGUUCCCUCAGAAUGGUUGGAAAUCAUUCAUAGAGUGUAAAGGCAUAAGGGAGCUUGACUGCGAGACCUACAAGUCGAGCAGGGUCGAAAGACGGACUUAGUGAUCCGGUGGUUCCGCAUGGAAGGGCCAUCGCUCAACGGAUAAAAGCUACCCCGGGGAUAACAGGCUUAUCUCCCCCAAGAGUUCACAUCGACGGGGAGGUUUGGCACCUCGAUGUCGGCUCAUCGCAUCCUGGGGCUGUAGUCGGUCCCAAGGGUUGGGCUGUUCGCCCAUUAAAGCGGUACGCGAGCUGGGUUCAGAACGUCGUGAGACAGUUCGGUCCCUAUCCGUCGUGGGCGUAGGAAAUUUGAGAGGAGCUGUCCUUAGUACGAGAGGACCGGGAUGGACAUACCUCUGGUGUACCAGUUGUCGUGCCAACGGCAUAGCUGGGUAGCUAUGUGUGGACGGGAUAAGUGCUGAAAGCAUCUAAGCAUGAAGCCCCCCUCAAGAUGAGAUUUCCCAACUUCGGUUAUAAGAUCCUCAAAGAUGAUGAGGUUAAUAGGUUCGAGGUGGAAGCAUGGUGACAUGUGGAGCUGACGAAUACUAAUCGAUCGAAGACUUAAUCAA
This 2919-nucleotide ribosomal RNA is filed under the name Staphylococcus aureus. Its description in RNAcentral is "23S ribosomal RNA". It matches the Rfam family "Bacterial large subunit ribosomal RNA". The record is from RNAcentral. Lineage: Bacteria; Bacillati; Bacillota; Bacilli; Caryophanales; Staphylococcaceae.